This 1009-nucleotide ribosomal RNA is filed under the name Metarhizium gryllidicola. RNAcentral describes it as "SSU rRNA". It matches the Rfam family "Eukaryotic small subunit ribosomal RNA", at positions 87 to 1105 of the family's 1831-position model. Lineage: Eukaryota; Fungi; Ascomycota; Sordariomycetes; Hypocreales; Clavicipitaceae. The record is from RNAcentral.
CUGCGAAUGGCUCAUUAUAUAAGUUAUCGUUUAUUUGAUAGUACCUUACUACUUGGAUAACCGUGGUAAUUCUAGAGCUAAUACAUGCUAAAAAUCCCGACUUCGGAAGGGAUGUAUUUAUUAGAUACAAAACCAAUGCCCCUCGGGGCUCUCUGGUGAUUCAUGAUAACUCGUCGAAUCGCACGGCCUUGCGCCGGCGAUGGUUCAUUCAAAUUUCUUCCCUAUCAACUUUCGAUGUUUGGGUAGUGGCCAAACAUGGUGGCAACGGGUAACGGAGGGUUAGGGCUCGACCCCGGAGAAGGAGCCUGAGAAACGGCUACUACAUCCAAGGAAGGCAGCAGGCGCGCAAAUUACCCAAUCCCGAUACGGGGAGGUAGUGACAAUAAAUACUGAUACAGGGCUCUUUUGGGUCUUGUAAUUGGAAUGAGUACAAUUUAAAUCCCUUAACGAGGAACAAUUGGAGGGCAAGUCUGGUGCCAGCAGCCGCGGUAAUUCCAGCUCCAAUAGCGUAUAUUAAAGUUGUUGUGGUUAAAAAGCUCGUAGUUGAAUCUUGGGCCUGGCUGGCCGGUCCGCCUCACCGCGUGUACUGGUCCGGCCGGGUCUUUCACUCUGCGGAACCACAUGCCCUUCAGUGGGUGUGGCGGGGAAGCAGGACGUUUACUUUGAAAAAAUUAGAGUGCUCUAAGCAGGCCAAUGCUCGGAUACAUUAGCAUGGAAUAAUAAAAUAGGACGCGCGGUUCUAUUUUGUUGGUUUCUAGGACCGCCGUAAUGAUGAAUAGGGACAGUCGGGGGCAUCAGUAUUCAGUUGUCAGAGGUGAAAUUCUUGGAUCUACUGAAGACUAACUACUGCGAAAGCAUUUGCCAAGGAUGUUUUCAUUAAUCAGGAACGAAAGUUAGGGGAUCGAAGACGAUCAGAUACCGUCGUAGUCUUAACCAUAAACUAUGCCGACUAGGGAUCGGACGAUGUUAUUUAGUUGACUCGUUCGGCACCUUACGAGAAAUCAAAGUG